RNAcentral lists this ribosomal RNA (99 nucleotides) under Marinobacter sp. Lineage: Bacteria; Pseudomonadati; Pseudomonadota; Gammaproteobacteria; Pseudomonadales; Marinobacteraceae. The record is from RNAcentral. RNAcentral also lists the same sequence under 1 other name.
GUCUGGAACCACCUGAUCCCAUCCCGAACUCAGAAGUGAAACAGACCAGCGCCGAUGGUAGUGUGGCGUUGCCCAUGUGAGAGUAGGUCAUCGUCAGGC